RNAcentral lists this ribosomal RNA (979 nucleotides) under Halomonas sp. Its description in RNAcentral is "bacterial SSU rRNA". It matches the Rfam family "Bacterial small subunit ribosomal RNA", at positions 54 to 1030 of the family's 1533-position model. Lineage: Bacteria; Pseudomonadati; Pseudomonadota; Gammaproteobacteria; Oceanospirillales; Halomonadaceae. The record is from RNAcentral.
CAUGCAAGUCGAGCGGUAACAGAUCCAGCUUGCUGGAUGCUGACGAGCGGCGGACGGGUGAGUAAUGCAUAGGAAUCUGCCCGAUAGUGGGGGAUAACCUGGGGAAACCCAGGCUAAUACCGCAUACGUCCUACGGGAGAAAGGGGGCUCCGGCUCCCGCUAUGGGAUGAGCCUAUGUCGGAUUAGCUAGUUGGUGAGGUAACGGCUCACCAAGGCCACGAUCCGUAGCUGGUCUGAGAGGAUGAUCAGCCACAUCGGGACUGAGACACGGCCCGAACUCCUACGGGAGGCAGCAGUGGGGAAUAUUGGACAAUGGGGGAAACCCUGAUCCAGCCAUGCCGCGUGUGUGAAGAAGGCCCUCGGGUUGUAAAGCACUUUCAGCGAGGAAGAACGCCUAGCGGUUAAUACCCGCUAGGAAAGACAUCACUCGCAGAAGAAGCACCGGCUAACUCCGUGCCAGCAGCCGCGGUAAUACGGAGGGUGCAAGCGUUAAUCGGAAUUACUGGGCGUAAAGCGCGCGUAGGUGGCUUGAUAAGCCGGUUGUGAAAGCCCCGGGCUCAACCUGGGAACGGCAUCCGGAACUGUCAAGCUAGAGUGCAGGAGAGGAAGGUAGAAUUCCCGGUGUAGCGGUGAAAUGCGUAGAGAUCGGGAGGAAUACCAGUGGCGAAGGCGGCCUUCUGGACUGACACUGACACUGAGGUGCGAAAGCGUGGGUAGCAAACAGGAUUAGAUACCCUGGUAGUCCACGCCGUAAACGAUGUCGACCAGCCGUUGGGUGCCUAGCGCACUUUGUGGCGAAGUUAACGCGAUAAGUCGACCGCCUGGGGAGUACGGCCGCAAGGUUAAAACUCAAAUGAAUUGACGGGGGCCCGCACAAGCGGUGGAGCAUGUGGUUUAAUUCGAUGCAACGCGAAGAACCUUACCUACUCUUGACAUCCUGCGAAUUUGGUAGAGAUACCUUAGUGCCUUCGGGAACGCA